GAAAAGGGGAAGACAGAUCUCGGGUUAGAUGAUGUGAUCUCGUGUGAGUCGAAGGGUGUGGAUCUUCAAUGAUGUGAAGUGAUACUUUUCAUCUUUUCAAAGCGAACUCAUGUGAGUGGAGUGGGGGUGAUCUUUAGUGAUGUGAUGGGUUUUUCACUGUUGCUAGUUAUUUCCAUUUUACUUAACCAACGGAAUCAAAAAGGAAAUAUAGAAACAACAAAACUUACUAACCAAAGUUUGGUAUAUACCAAAUGCCAGGCUCGGCCACGUGAGGUGUCCAACAUGGGCGUGGGACCAUCGAGCAGCGAUUCGCGAAGGAGGAGAAAGUGGAUUGAUAGCCCAAGCAUUCUAUCUCUUGCAUGACCUNNNNNNNNNNNNNNNNNNNNNNNNNNNNNNNNNNNNNNNNNNNNNNNNNNNNNNNNNNNNNNNNNNNNNNNNNNNNNNNNNNNNNNNNNNNNNNNNNNNNNNNNNNNNNNNNNNNNNNNNNNNNNNNNNNNNNNNNNNNNNNNNNNNNNNNNNNNNNNNNNNNNNNNNNNNNNNNNNNNNNNNNNNNNNNNNNNNNNNNNNNNNNNNNNNNNNNNNNNNNNNNNNNNNNNNNNNNNNNNNNNNNNNNNNNNNNNNNNNNNNNNNNNNNNNNNNNNNNNNNNNNNNNNNNNNNNNNNNNNNNNNNNNNNNNNNNNNNNNNNNNNNNNNNNNNNNNNNNNNNNNNNNNNNNNNNNNNNNNNNNNNNNNNNNNNNNNNNNNNNNNNNNNNNNNNNNNNNNNNNNNNNNNNNNNNNNNNNAAGUGGCGGGGUGGCUAUAGAAUUUGUUUUCAUGCUAGACCUUAGGAUAUAUGUCACACAUUAUGAUGUGAUUUUCUGUGAGGAAAGGGGUAAGACGGAUCUUGGGUUAGAUGAUGUGAUCUCGUGUGAGUGGAAGGGUGUGGAUCUUCCAUGACGUGAAGUCAUAAUUUGCAUUUUUCCAAAGCGAUCUCAAGCGAGUGUAGUCGGGGGGGGGGUGAUCCUCAAUGAGGUGAUGUGUUUUUCAUUGUUGCUAGUUAUUUCCAUGUUUUCUUAACCAAUUUAAGAAAGAAAAAUACAUAUCUAUCUUGAAAUACGGGAAAAACAAAGAGCACAUCUACAAUGCUAGCAUUAGCUGGCUAGCUGUCCAUGGGGCACACCCGAAAAGCAAACAUCCCCAUCGAGUUCCAAUGAGCUUAAAAUGGAAAUUCACCCCAAAAAUACCAACUACUCCUCCCAUACAUGUUGGCCCGCCUAAAUAGUGUAGUUAAGCGGCUUCUUUCUUUACAGUUAAACAUUCUUCCUUUUGCACUUUAUUUGCAUAUGGAUGGUAUAGGCUCUAGGCCAAUGAUUGUCUUGUAUGUCUUGUACAGAGUUACCGCCUAAUUACAAAAAACACUCUCCCAUGGCCCUAUUGUGCCCUACUCUAUACAACCAUAAGGACGAGUGGAGGGAUGAAUGUGAUCAGUGCGAGCAUAAAUAUGACAAGGACAUUAAUUUACUUUCCCUUGAUUGCACAAAACUGAAAUUAUUUUUAAUAUGUUCUCACAUGUAACUACAAUUGUCUCUAUUGAUUUAUAUGGGUACACCACACAUUUGUGCAUGCAAAGUAUGAUUUCCUAUUGUAGUUUUAAUACGAGCAACGUGUGAGAACAAGUCGUAAAGUCUCUUAGGGCAUCUUUGGCAAACCUCUAGAACCGCAAACACCUCGACUCUCGCUCCUCUAACUCAAACCCAACUUAAAAAUACUAGGGAUUUGAUAAGCCGUUAGCCAAAUCGGCAGUGUCCUAAGAUCGAUUUCAUUGUCCGAUGACCCAUUUACGGGAUAUUUCGCCUGUUUGACAAGGAAACAUCCGCACCAUAUGGAUCUUCACCUCAACAUUGUAUGCAACUACAUAAGGCCUAAUAUUCUACAAAACUUAUUCUUCUCAACCUAUCCAAUCAGUCUCUCCCAUGGGGCUUGUUUGUUUCGUGAUUUCUCCCACAUCAUGUGGCUACACAAAAUGGGGUAGGGACCUUUUCCAUUUAAUAAGGUGGGGUGCCAAGCGUUGAAGGUAUCCAUAUUCCUAGUUAUCCUAAUGCAUUCUACCCUUUAGGAAUAAAUUGAAAACAGAAUUGAACAACAAAUAUAGAAACACCAAAAUUUACUAACCUAAGUUUAGUUUACACCAGAUGCCAGGCUUAGCCAUGGGAGGUGACCAACUCGAGCGUGAGACCAUCAAGAAGUGAUCCACGUGGAGAAUAAAUAGGGUCAACAACCCAAGCAUUGCGGCUCUCGCAUGGCCUCUCGUAAGUCCCAAGACCCACCCCUCACUUUGCUUACAUGUGUCAUUAAUUUCGGACGGUUGUGAUGCUUCCGGUUCGUCUCAAAUUGCGGCGUGGCUAGAGAAUUUAUUGUCGUGCUACAAUAAGUGAACUUUAGGAUAUAUCUCAUGCAUUACGACACGAUAUUCUGUGAGGAAAGGGGGAAGACUGAACCAGGUUAGAUGAUGCGAUAUCGCGUGAGUGGAAGGAUGUAGAUCUUCCAUGACAUGAAGGGAUUAUUUCCAUUUUUCAAAGAAAUAUUGUGCGAGCGGAGGGGGUGGAUCUUCAAUGACAUGAUGUUUUUUUAUCUUUGUUAGUUAUUUCCAAUUUUUCUUAACCAAUUUAAGAGAACAAAUCAUAUCCAACAUGAAAUAUGGGAAGAAACUAAGGACACAUGUACAAAGCAACCAUUUACUUGCUAGAUAUCCAUGGCGCAUGCCCAUAAAAACAAACACCCCAUGAAGUUCCACUGAGUCUAAAAUUAAUGGAAAUCCAACACCAACAAUAUAUACCACCUGGUCCACCUACACGUGUUGGCCCACCUAAAUAGUGUAGUUAAGCGGCUUCUUGCAUCACAAUUAAACAAAAUAUCUUCCUUUUGCUCUUCAUUUGCAAAUUUUUGGUAUAAUCUUAGGCCAAUGAUUAUCUUCAAUGUUUUGUACACAAUAUAUACCUAAUUACAAACAACUUUCCCCCAUUAACCUAUUGUGGCCUACUCUAUACAUAUCGGAGGAUGAGAGGAUGGAUGAAUGAAUUCCAGAGGAGGAAUACAUAUGCGAGGGACAUUGCAUUACUUUCCCUUGGUUACCCAAAACUAAAAAUCUUGUUAUAUAUUCUCACACGNNNNNNNNNNNNNNNNNNNNNNNNNNNNNNNNNNNNNNNNNNNNNNNNNNNNNNNNNNNNNNNNNNNNNNNNNNNNNNNNNNNNNNNNNNNNNNNNNNNNNNNNNNNNNNNNNNNNNNNNNNNNNNNNNNNNNNNNNNNNNNNNNNNNNNNNNNNNNNNNNNNNNNNNNNNNNNNNNNNNNNNNNNNNNNNNNNNNNNNNNNNNNNNNNNNNNNNNNNNNNNNNNNNNNNNNNNNNNNNNNNNNNNNNNNNNNNNNNNNNNNNNNNNNNNNNNNNNNNNNNNNNNNNNNNNNNNNNNNNNNNNNNAUUCUCACACGGAAUUAGAAUGUUCACUAAUGCAUUAUCCAAGUACACCACACUUGUGCAUGUGAAGUAUGAUAUCAUAUUGUACUUGCAAUACAAGCUAACUGUGCUAAUGAGUCACAAUGUUUAUUCACGUAAGUAUGUAGUUUUGGUUGGAGAUUGUUACACGAGGCGCUUCCCCUCGUGGUUGAGGAUAACAUUUCUUAUCAAAUAAAUGUGUGCAUAUACGUUCACAAGGCAUUGAUUUCUUACUUGGUGUUACGGUAAUAGUGUUUUGAUGUUUGGAUAGAGUGUUGGAUAGGCAAUGGAUACCACAGUGGGCUCUAAAUAAUCAAUAACCCUUACACACACAUUUCAAUAGUAAGCAGUAAUAGGUUAUUUUUUCAUAUAAGUACAAAUGUGUCACAUCCCUGACACCUUAAUCAAAUUAGCUUUGUGCUCAUGUUUUCUUUGCAUUGCAUCUAGGAAAUUUUCAACAAGAAUAAAGUAAGUGGUGAAGGAAAACUCAAAACCCUAGCCACUUCUCAAAAUAAAGGAAAUUUCAAACUAGUUAAAAUCAAUGAACCCAAAAUGGCCUCAAGAAAAGCUCAACUUUUCUGAUAAUUCUUGGAAACAAAUAAGCAAUGAAGUAAACCAUUUCUUUUAUACUCUUGGCAUUUUAAAUAAAUGCAAAAAGCUAUUGGUUUCAAGUUUAAAAUUUGAAAUCAGAAACUUUAAGUUUUCAAAAAUGUUGAAAACUCGAGGAAUGGUUGGAUAUAUUCCAACAAAUAUUCUGGUGUGUUCAAAAUAGUUUUUACAAACUAUUUUGGAGCUUAAAUAAAUAGCAAAUCAAUAGUUAACAAAACAGAAACAAAACAAAAAAGAAAGAGAAAGAAAAGAGGAAAGACCUUACCUGUCGACUGAGGAGGCCCAGCCCACCAGGGGCAGGGUCGUCUUCUUCCUCUCCCUUCUGGCAGAGGGGAGAUCGACCACGGCGGCCCCCUCCACAUCCUGCUUCGCCGUGGCGACCUCCAGAGCCCCCCAGGACAGCGCGACAGGGGGGAUAUCCACCCCGAGGCCGUCCCUAUCCAUUCCCCAGCUCUAGUUUCCCCCUCCUCCCGGGAUCUCUCCUCCCUCCUUCUGCCGCCAUUGCCAAGAGCUAGAGCACGAGCCGCCGCGCCUCUAGCCACAGGACCUCCCUUCCGAGUAGUCCAGUAGCUUCGCCUCGUCGAGCUGGUUCUCUCUGCAACGGCCGAAGUCUCCCCAAGCUCUACAACGUCCCCAACGCCAUCGUCUUCAACCUUCGGUCGCCGGCAAAUCGACGGUGAAACGUCGGCAACAGCCCCUCCCCGAGCAGUCUGAGCCUAGCUUCACCUCCACCGCAAGCCUGCGAUCAUUUCCCCUCUCCUUCCCCUCGGAUCCGUGCCCCCUAGCCACUGGACCAUCGAACCCGUACUCCGGCAGCCGCCCCAGCUCGUCGCCGGCUUGCUCCGACCACCUAUAGCCCUCCCUGAGGCCAACGCUGGAUGAGGUCGAGCCUGGAGAUCAGUCCAGUGCUCUCGGCAUCCUUUUCCGAGCACCACAGCACGAUAUAGCGUGUCUCCGGCGAGGUUCUGCCGCGGAUCUGGUCGCUGCCGGCCAGGCUCCGGCGAGGAACGAUGUGGCCAGCCUAACCAAGUAGUUUAAAGCCUAAACACUCACUUAGGGGCUGGUCAGCGCGGGAUUAGCCACUAAGACGCUGACAAGUGGGUCCCCCCUGUUAGGUUUGACCUGAUCAGGUCAGUUGACCUGCUGAUGUCAUGCUGACAAAAUAAAGGGGUUUUCCAGUAUAAAAAUAAUUCCAGAAAUGUUUAUAACUUCAAAAAUUCAUAGAAAUUAAUCUGUAACUCCAAUGCAAAUAAUUUAUAUAUGAAAAAGUAUCAGAAAAAUUCAAGGAAUCUGAAUAUGUCAUUUUCAAACAUGUUUGAAAAUGUUACAGAACCCAAACAUGUAGAUUAAUGAAUAAGUUAAUUCUUAUAAAUACUUUGUAUAUGGAAUUUGGCAAAUAUUUAAAUUUCACUAUAAAUGACAUGAUCAAACACUGUCCUAAUUACAAACCAGCAACCUAACAUGUCAUCCCAUGCAUGUUAAAAGCAAGUUGAUCUGAGCAUCAGGUCGAAUCAAUUUAAAUGGUAUCCGAGAAUACCUCGUUUGAAGUGAUAUUUGAAUUUGAUUCAAAUCAACUUCAAACCUAAUACAUGUUAGCUAUAAUAGUUUACCAUCUUGCAUUCUCAUGCCAUGCUCAUGCAUCAUCUUGAUUGCAUAUGUUUGUUAUUGAUUGUUGUCAUUCCUUUCGGUAGGCUCCGCUCCCCCGGAUUCCACCGAAUAUCCAUCUGACGGAUAUUGUCACUCCUCUGAGCAACAAGGCAAGCAACCAUUUUGAUCAUCCCGAUAAAUCCCAUGUUCUUGCUCCUACACUUACUUAUUGCAUUAGGAUCAAAUGCUUCAAAUGCUUUUGCCACGUUAGUUGAACCCACUUCCUUUGCAUGACCUAUCCUUGUCACAGUAAAUAGCUAAACCUUGCAACCUAGCAUACCUGGUAGUUUCUUGAGCCAUGACAUGCCUUAUCCUGCUAUGCAUGCUAUGCUUAGAGUUGUGUAUGGUCUGUCAUCUGGGGGAUGAACAGAAUUGUGAGAAUGUGUUCGGAAAGCAAAGGUUGUGUGUUGAACCUGAUUUGGUAAAGGUACCGGUGAAAGGCUGUGUAGGAGUACAUGGCGGGUUGUUUCAUUGGAACCGUCCUUAGGAACUGAGUUCCGUGUAUGUAAUCCAAGACUAGAUACUACCACACGUUGGGAUACUUAAUUGACCCUCUCGACUUAUUAAUCGCUUAGUAUUCGAUCCAGGAGUUGCAAGUACUUUCUGGUGUUUAUAGUCAUGCUGGAGGCCGUGCAUCGCGCUGACCUGAGAGGUGGGCUGUGAUGCGGUAGGCAGUGGCACGGUGUACCAAGUGGCACCCGGAUGGUGGGCUUGGGAACCCUGCGGACAUCGUUUGAGGCUGUGGCGGAAACCUCGGCCGGACUUCCAUACGGGUUACUCUCAGAUAGGCGAUAAACCUCGACUAGGUACUAAUGUGGUUAACGGUCGUGGCCGACUCCCUCGCUGGGCUUCCGCUUGAAGGUUGCCGAGGUGCAUGACGUGCACAUGGCGAUAAGUGGCGAGAGCGUGUGUGACGAAGUACACCCCUGCAGGGUUAUGAUCUAUUCGAAUAGCCGCGUCCGCGGAUAUGGACUACAUGGAGACAUAUGUUGUUCAUAGAUAACUUAAAUGGCUACUCAUAAAAUUGUCAAGAUAAGCGUGAGUGUCAUGGACGGCAUUUCCGUAUGGAGACGGAAUGAUUCCACGAUGGAGUAUUGUUGUGGUGUUAGUGGACUAGAGUGCGAGAAAUCAAGUUGUCAAAAUUAUUUAAAAAUGCAAGUUGUCUAGCCACGAGUCAAAUGCUGGCUUUCCGCAUGAAACCCCACAAUACCUUAUUGAUACUUUGCAUGAGUAGAUAGUUAUCUUAAAGUCUUGCUGAGUACCUCCGUACUCAUGUUUGCUGAAUAAAUGUUGCAGAGGUUUCUAAUGACCCUAAUGGAGGGUUCUUCAUAGACAUCGACGACGACGAGUAGCUGGUGUCCCAGCUACGAUCUGGCCCUAGGUUGGGUCUGUAGUAUAGUCAGGCCAUGUGCCUUCUAGUUGCACCUGUCUGUACUCAGACAAUUUUAAACACUUCCGCUGGCUUGUAACUGAACGACUGCUAUUAUGGGUCGUGAGACCCUUACUGUGUAAUAUUAUGUGUGUGGCUUUUCCGAGCCUCUUAAAUAAUGCUUGUAUGUUUAUGGUUAUGUUGUGAUGCCAUCGAUGUAUCUAUACAUAUCGGUAUGCCAUGCGUACGUGUGUCAUACUUGAUAUGUAUGGGGUUCGACUACCUAGCCGUGAACUUUAGUAGCACUCCUUACAGGGAAAUGCCCCUUUGUGAUCCAACGAGCCAUGGUAGCUCGCUACUUCUCCGCACACAUUGGUUGACCGACAUGUGUCCUUCUUAGCUGUUGUGUCUGUCCCCUUUGGGGAAAUGUCACGCGAUGUAAUGGAGUCCUUGUAGCUUGCUACGACUCGUCUACACUCGCUGGUGACCGACACCUGCUUUGUUGGGUCAUGUAUGACUGUCCUUGUGCGGUACUGCCACUUUGGUUUAUGACUAGACUUGUCGAUCCGGGUUCUUUGACAUUGGAAUGCUAGCGACACAAUUGCAUACGUGAGUCAAAAGGCGCAAACGGUCCCGGCUAAGGUAAGGCUGCAGCCGUGGAGUUAACCGUGCGUGAGACCGCAAAGGGAUGCGAUGUGUUACAGACUGGAUUCCUAUGGCUUAGGAUCGGGGUCCCGACAAUUUUUUUUCUAAAAAAGUGUAUUUCACACUUUGUAAAAACGUCCAAAAUCCACUCUACACUUUCUUUUUGAAAAAAAUUAAACUUACAUUUUUGGCUAACUAAACUUGCGCAUUUUGAAACUAACGUAGGCUUAGAAAAAAGAAACAUUUACCUAAGGCAUGGCAAAAGCAAUAAAUCAUUUAGAUCUUUGGUCAUGCAAGGUGGCUAGACAAGGAAAACCCAUAAUAAGUAGAGUCUAGUUGAUCGGUCAUAAGCGGUGUGUGAGUCUCCAUUCUGAAAACUGCACACAUACAACAAAAACGGAAUCAAAACUAGUUUCGGAAGAAGUGUUGGGCACAUAACGGAAUCUAAAGGCUGAACAUAAUAGUUCGCACUGAUAUAGCCAAACUCAAAAUCUUUAAUGUUUUUUUUCGAACGUAGAAUAUCCUCUUUCCUCCGACUCUCCAAUUCUCAUCACCCAAAACCAACAAACAUGCAACUUGGGCCUAUCGCCAUCCAUAAAGAACAACUCUAAGUUUCUCUUAACUUUUGCCCUUCAAUUUCUCAAUAUAAUCUGAUGGCCCAACUCCAUCUGACCACAUCUAAAUCCUCUAGCACAAAACAAAGCAUAGCCUUCAAGAAACUAAGCAUUCCCUUGCUCUCUAUAAUCGGUGCCGCUCUGAUUAUUCAAGUGAUCCUCAAAGCACACUCUAAUGCAACUUAUCUAGCCCUCGUGUGAGCGCCAUCCUGCCUCGGGACCAAUCUUCAAUUCCAAACAAGAUCAAGAAUUGUGAUGCACAACAGAGUCUGACCCGACCAGUAGUAGGCCCGCCUCUAGGAAAAAUAGUGCCGCCUACUCCUCUAGUAUGUCAUUGUCCCGAGACGCACCAGCUCUACAAGUGAUUUUCGAAGUAACAAGCAUGGUGCUUUGGAUUGGUGUUUAGCGAAAGAAGGUUCUACACCUAGGUGAAUUAACACCAACCUUCCGCUUGAUCUUGUUUCAGGAAACAAGCAUAACCCACUAGUUAAAAUUGUAUUGCCUAUGUGGAAAGUGUAGAAUUGAUACUCAUGUUGCUAGAUUCACAAUCUAUAAUAUUAUUUGGAAGUUCUCAUCCUUAUAUAUUUGUUUGGAUCUAUCUAGAUAAAGACUUUGAAUACUUUUGAUAUAAAUGCCUAUGUCAGGAAAUUUGAUGUUUCUUGUUGAGUAGAGCAAACUUGUAUCACUCAUCACAAACUUGUUUCCUCGUGAACCAUUGUAUCGUGCAAAUUACGCAUACCCAAUUAGUGUCAUGUUAAAUCUUGUUUGUUCAAAGGCUUCUUAGUUUUUUUUAAUUUAUAUGUUGGGAUGUUGGUUUCUUUAAGUUGUUAUUUGCAAUCUUUUUCUUUGGCAAUUGUUGGGAAAUAUUUUGUUGUGCUUGAUUUUUGUGUUUCUCAUGCCUUUGGUCAUCAUAGUAAUAUAUAUCUGGUCGCAAUUCAUGGAUAUUAACCUAUGAUAUCAAAUAAUGGACAUUCAACUAUGAUAUCAAACAAUUCUUCACUUAUUGGUGUACGCAUUUGCUAAAUUGUGAUUAAUGGAUUCAUGUUGCAUGUACAAAGGCACAAGCAUUUUCAUAGUGAUUGUAGUGGGUCGGUAGUUGAGCAGUUACAGGGGUGGAUAUAUAUGAGCAUAAAUUGUGAAAUAUAAUGGACAACUGUUAAAAUAAAUAUAGAAGAAAGAAAAAAAAAGAUAAAAAAUCAAAUCUUAAGGCCGAUGGUCGCCGAGCAUGGUGUUCUACCCCAUUUCGUAAGCACUCUAGGCGACACCUUGUUUUGUCUCACAAUAGUCGACACAGAGUCGCUCCCCUAAGGUUAAGGUGAGUACCAUGUGGUCGUGUGUGCAAGUCAAGGAUGACCCAAUCACUCAUGUGGGCCAUCCACCUAAAUACUGUAGGCAAAUAGGCAAUGCCCAAUAAUCUACAAAACCUAUUUUUCUUACCCACACCAAUGAGUCUCUCUCGUGGGGCUUGUCCAUUUGGUUAUUAGUACCACAUCACCAGGCUGCAGAAUAAUGGGGGAAGAAGCCUGACUAUUUAAUAGGGUGGUAUGCCUCGGGUGGAAGGCAUCCAUAUCCUUGGUGAACCGGACACGGGAUACACUUUCAGUAUAAGUCGAAAACCGAACCAAAAAGGAAAUAUAGAAACACCAGAACUUACUAACCAAAGUUUAUGUAGCAAACGCCAGGGUCAGCCAUCUGAGGUGCCCAACAUGGUCAUGGGAUCAUCAAGCAGCGAUCCACAAGGGAGGAUAAAGGGGAUUCACAACCCAAGCUUUGUGGCUCUUGCAUGACCUCUCAUAAGGCCCAAAACCCAUGCCUCAAUUUCUUACAUGUGUGUUUCAUGUCAGAUGGUGGUGUGGGUUUCGGUACAUCUCAAGUGGCAGGGCGGCUAGAGAAUUUAUUUUCAUGCUAGACAUUAGGAUAUAUCUCACACGUUAUGACAUGAUCUUGUGUGAGGAAAAGGGUCAGACAAAUCUUGGGUUAGAUGAUGUGAUCUCGUGUGAGUGGAAGGGUGUGGAUCUUCAAGGAUGUGAAGUAAUAAUUUUCAUUUUUUCAAAGCGAUCUCAUGUGAGUGGAGUGGGGAUGAUCUUCACUGAUGUGAUGGGUUUUUCACUGUUGCUAGUUAUUUCCAUUUUACUUAAUCAACGGAAUCAAAACGGAAAUAUAGAAACAACAAAACUUAAUAACCGAAGCUUGGUAUAUACCAAAUGCUAGGCUCGGCCACGUGAGGUGUGCAACAUAGGCGUGGGACCAUUGAGAAGCGAUUCUCGAGGGAGGAGAAAGUGGAUUGAUAUCCCAACCAUUCUAUCUCUCGCAUGACCUCUCAUAAGUCCCAAGCCCACCCCUCGCUUUCUUACAUGUACGUUUAAUGUCACAUGGUGGGGUGGGUUUCGGUAUGUCUCAACUGGCGGGGUGGCUAGAGAAUUUGUUGUCAUGCUAGACCUUAGGAUAUAUGUCAAACGUUAUGAUGUGAUUUUCUGUGAGGAAAGGGGUAAGACGGAUCUUGGGUUAGAUGAUGUGAUAUCGUGUGAGUGGAAGGGUGUGGAUCUUCCAUGACGUGAAGUCAUAAUUUGCAUUUUACCAAAGCGAUCUCAAGCGAGUGGAGUUGGGGGGUGAUCCUCAAUGAGGUGAUGUGUUUUUCAUUGUUGCUAGUUAUUUCCAUGUUUUCUUAACCAAUUUAAGAAAAAAAAUGCAUAUCUAUCUUGAAAUACGGGAAAAAACAAAGGGCACAUCUACAAUGCUAGCAUUAGCUGGCUAGCUGUCCAUGGGGCACACCCGAAAAGCAAACAUCCCCAUCGAGUUACAAUGAGCUUAAAAUGGAAAUUCACCCCAAAAAUACAUCCUACUCCUCCCACACAUGUUGGCCCGCCUAAAUAGUGUAGUUAAGUGGCUUCUUGCUUUACAGUUAAACAUUCUUCCUUUUGCACGUUAUUUGCAUAUGGAUGGUAUAGGCUCUAAGCCAAUGAUUGUCUUGUAUGUCUUGUACACAGUUACCGCCUAAUUACAAAAAACACUCUUGGCCCUAUUGUGCCCUACUCUAUACAACUAUAAGUACGAGUGGAUGGAUGAAUCUGAUCAGUGCGAGCAUAACUAUGAGAAGGACAUUAUUUUACUUUCCCUUGAUUGCAAAAAACUGAAAUUAUUUUAAAUAUCGUCUCACACGUAACUACAAUUGUCUCUAUUGCUUUAUCUAGGUACACCACACAUUUUUGCAUGCGAAGUAUGAUUUCCUAUUGUAGUUUUAAUACGAGCAACGUGUGAGAACAAGUCAUAAAGUCUCUUAGGGCAUCUUCGGCAAUCCUCUAGAACCGCAAACACCUCGACUCUCGCUCCUCUAACUCAAACCCAACUUAAAAAUACUAGGGUUUUGAUAAGCUGUUAGCCAAAUCAGUAGUGUCCUAAGAUCGAUUUCAUCGUCCGAUGACCCAUUUAGGGGAUAUUUGGCCCGUUUGACAAGGAAACAUCCGCACCAUAUGGAUCUUCACCUCAACAUUGUAUGCAACUACGCAAGGCCUAAUAUUCUACAAAACUUCUUCUUCUCAACCAAUCCAAUCAGUCUUUCCCAUGGGGCUUGUCCGUUUCAUGAUUUCUCCCACAUCGUGUGGCUACACAAAAUGGGGUAGGGACCUUUUCUAUUUAAUAUGGUGGGGUGCCAAGCGUUGAAGGUAUCCAUAUUCUUAGUUAGCCUAAUGCAUUCUACCCUUUAGGAAUAAACUGAAAACAGAAUCGAACAACAAAUAUAGAAACACCAAAAUUCACUAACCUAAGUUUAGUUUACACCAGAUGCCAGGCUUAGCCAUGGGAGGUGACCAACUCGAGCGUGAGCCCAUCCAGAAGCGAUCCACAUGGAGAAUAAAUGGGGUCAACAACCCAAGCAUUGCGGCUCUCGCAUGGCCUCUCGUAAGUCCCAAGAUCCACCCCUCACUUUGCUUACAUGUGUCAUUAAUAUCGGAUGGUGGGGAGGCUUCUCGUACGUCUCAAAUUGCGGCGUGGCUAGAGAAUUUAUUAUCGUGCUACAAUAAGUGGACUUCAGGAUAUAUCUCAUGCAUUGCGACACGAUAUUCUGUGAGGAAAGGGGGAAGACUAACCCAGGUUAGAUGAUGCGAUAUCGCGUGAGUGGAAGGAUGUAGAUCUUCCAUGACAUGAAGGGAUUAUUUCCAUUUUUCAAAGCAAUAUCGUGCGAGCGGAGGGGUGGAUCUUCGAUGACAUGAUGUUUUUAUCUUUGUUAGUUAUUUCCAGUUUUUCAUAACCAAUUUAAGAGAACAAAUCAUAUCCAACAUGAAAUAUGGGAAGAAGCUAAGGACACAUCUACAAAGCAAACAUUUACUUGCUAGCUAUCCAUGGCGCAUGCCCAUAAAAACAAACACCCCAUGAAGUUCCGGUGAGCCUAAAAUGGAAAUCCAACACCAACAAUAUAUACAACCUGGUCCGCCUACACAUGUUGGCCCACCUAAAUAGUGUAGUUAAGCGGCUUCUUGCAUCACAAUUAAACAAAAUAUCUUCCUUUUGCUCUUCAUUUGGAAAUUUUUGGUAUAGACUUAGGCCAAUGAUUAUCUUCAAUGUUUUGUACACAAUACCUAAUUACAAACAACUUUGCCCCAUUAACCUAUUGUGGCCUACUCUAUACAUAUCGGAGGACGAGAGGAUGGAUGAAUGUAUUCCAGAGGAGGAAUACAUAUGCGAGGGACAUUGCAUUACUUUCCCUUGGUUACCCAAAACUAAAAAUCUUGUUAUAUAUUCUCACACGGAAUUACAAUGGUCACUAAUGCUUUAUCCAAGUACACCACACUUGUGCAUGUGAAGUAUGAUAUCAUAUUGUACUUGCAAUACAAGCUAACUGUGCUAAUGAGUCAAAAUGUUUAUUCACGUAAGUAUGUAGUUUUGGUUGGAGAUCGUUACACGAGGCGCUUCCCCUCGUGGUUGAGGAUAACAUUUCUUAUCAAAUAAAUGUGUAUAUAUAUGUUCAGAAGGCAUUGAUUUCUUACUUGGUGUUACGGUAAUAGUGUUUUGAUGUUUGGAUAGAGUGUUGGAUAGGCAAUGGAUACCACAGUGGCCUCUAAAUAAUCAAUAACCCUGGCACACACAUUUCAAUAGUAAGCAGUAAUAGGUUAUUUUUUCAUAUAAGUACAAAUGUUUUCUAGAAAAGUAUAUGUCACACUUUGUAAAAACGUCCAAAAUCCAUUUUACACUUUCUUUUUGAAAAAAAUCAAACUUACAUUUUCAGCUAACUAAACUUGCGCAUUUUGAAACUAACGUAGGCUUAGAAAAAAGGAAACAUUUACCUAAGGCAUGGCAAAAGCAAUAAAUCAUUUAGAUCUUUGGUCAUGCAAGGUGGCUAGACAAGGAAAAUCCAUAAUAAGUAGAGUCUAGUUGAUCGGUCAUAAGCGGUGCGUGAGUCUCCAUUCUUAAAACUGCACACAUAAAACAAAAACGGAAUCAAAACCAGUUUCGGAAGAAGUGUUGGGCACAUAACUGAAUCUAAAGGGUGAACAUAAUAGUUCGCACUGAUAUAGCCAAAAUCGAAAUAUUUAAUGUUUUUUUUCUAAUUUAGCAUAUCCUCUUUCCUCCCAAUCUCCAAUUAUCAUCACCCAAAACCAACAAACAUGCAACUUGGGACUAUCGCCAUCCAUAAAUAACAACUCUAAGUUUCUCUUAACUUUUUCCCUUCAAUUUCUCAAUAUAAUUUCAUGGCCCAACUCCAUCUGACCACAUCAAAAUCCUCUAGCACAAAACAAAGCAUAGCCUUCAAGAAACUAAGCAUUCCCCAUGCUCUCUAUAAUCGGUGCCGCUCUGAGUCUUCAAGUGAUCCUCAAAGCACACUCUAAUGCAACUUAGCAAGCCCUCGUGUGAGCGCCAUCCUGCCUCGGGACCACUUUCAAUUCCAAACAAGAUCAAGAAUUGUGACGCACAGCAGAGUCUUACCCGACCAGUAGUAGGCCCGCCUCUAGGAAAAAUAGUGUCGCCUACUCCUCUAGUCCCUCAUUGUCCCGAGAUGCACCAGCUCUACAAGUGAUCUUCGAAGCAACAAGCAUGGUGCUUUGGAUUGGUGUUCAGCGAAAGAAGGUUCUACACCUAGGUGAAUUAACACCAACCUCCCGCUUGAUCUUGUUUCGGGAAACAAGCAUAACCCACUAGUUAAAAUUGUAUGGCCUAUGUGGAAAGUGUUGAAUUGAUACUCAUGUUGCUAGAUUCACAAUCUAUAAGAUUAUUUGGAAGUUCUCAUCCUUGUAUAUUUGUUUGGAUCUAUCUAAAUAAAGACUUUGAAUACUUUUGAUAUAAAUUCCUAAGUCAGGAAAUUUGAUUUGUUUUGUUGAAUAGACCAAACUUGUUUCCUUGUGAACCAUUGUAUCGUGCAAAUUAAGCAUACCCAAUUAGUGUCAUGUUAAAUCUUGUUUGUUCAAAGGCUUCUUAGUUUUUUUUAAUUCAUAUGUUGCGAUGUUGGUUUCUUUAAGUUGUUAUUUGCAAUCUUUUCCUUUGGCAGUUGUUGGGAAAUAUUUUGUUGUGCUUGAUUUUUGUGUUUCCCAUGCCUUUGGUCAUCAUAAUAAUAUAUAUCUGGUCGCAAUUCAUGGAUAUUGACCUAUGAUAUCGAAUAAUGGAUAUUCAACUAUGAUAUCAAACAAUGCUUCACUUAUUGGUGUACGCAUUUGCUAAAUUGUGAUUAAUGGAUUCAUGUUGCAUGUAGAAAUGCACGAGCAUUUUCCUAGUGAUUGUAGUGGGUCAGUAGUUGAGCAGUUACAGGGGUGGAUAUAUAUGAGCAUAAACUGUGAAAUAUAAUGGACAACUGUUAACAUUAAUAUAAAAAUAAGAAAAAAAACAAAAAAAUAUCAACUCUUGAGGCCGAUGGUCGCCAAGCAUGGUGUUCUAGCCCAUUUCGUAAGCACUCUAGGCGACACCUUAUUUCGUCUCACAAUAGUCGACACAGAGUCGCUCCCCUAAUUAACGUUAAGGUGAGUGCCAUGUGGUCGUGUGUGCAAGUCAGGGAAGACCCAAUCACUCAUGUGCGCGAUCCACCUCAAUACUGUAGGCAAAUAGGCAACGCCCAAUAAUCUACAAAACCUAUUUUUCUUACCCACACCAAUGACUCUCUCCCGUGGGGCUUGUCCAUUUGGUUAUUAGUACCACAUCACCAGGAUGCAGAAAUGUUGGCAGGAGCUUGACUAUUUAAUAGGGUGGUUUGCCUCGGGUGGAAGGCAUUCAUAUCCUUGGUGAAUCGUACAAAGGAUACUCUUUCAGUAUAAGUCGAAUACCAAAUCAAAAAGGAAAUAUAGAAACACCAGAACUUACUAAUCGAAGUUUAUAUACCAAAUGCCAGGGUCAGCCAUGUGAGGUGCCGAACAUGGUCAUGGGAUUGUCGAGCAGCGAUCCAAAAGGGAGGAUAAAGGGGAUUGACAACCCAAGCUUUGUGGCUCUUGCAUGACCUCUCAUAAGGCCCAAAACCCACGCCUCGUUUUCUUAAAUGUAUGUUUCAUGUCAGAUGGUGGUGUGGGUUUCGGUACAUCUCAACUGACAGGGCGGCUAGAGAAUUUAUUGUCAUGCUAGAUAUUAGGAUAUAUGUCACACGUUAUGACAUGAUCUUAUGUGAGGAAAAGGGGAAGACAGAUCUCGGGUUAGAUCAUGUGAUCUCGUGUGAGUGGAAGGGUGUGGAUCUUCAGUGAUAUGAAGUGAUAAUUCUCAUUUUUUCAAAGCGAUCUCAUGUGAGUGGAGAGGGGGGUGAUCUUCAGUGAUGUGAUGGGUUUUUUACCGUUGCUAGUUAUUUCCAUUUUACUUAACCAACGGAAUCAACAAGGAAAUAUAGAAACAACAAAACUUACUAACCAAAUUUUGGUAUAUACCAAAUGCCACGCUUGGUCACGUGAGGUGUCCAAUAUGGGCGUGGGACCAUCGAGCAGUGAUUCAUGAGGGAGGAGAAAGGGGAUUGAUAGCCCAAGCAUAACAUCUCUCGCUUGACCUCUCAU
Molecule: long non-coding RNA, 16302 nt
Filed under: Hordeum vulgare
Lineage: Eukaryota; Viridiplantae; Streptophyta; Magnoliopsida; Poales; Poaceae
Description: long non-coding RNA (HVUL_LNC001873)
Source: RNAcentral